CCCGGCCCGUCCCGUCCCGUCCCGGCCGGGUGUGCCGUGGGCUGCGCGCGGCGCGGCGCGGCCUGGCCUGGGGCCUUCGGGCGCAGGGCGCAGCCCGGGCCGGGGCGUCGCCUAGCAGCGGGACGCGGCGGCCGCAGUGGAGGUGCCCGGGCGCAGGCAGCCGCCCCCCCCCCCCCCCCGCCGCAUUACGUCACGUCGCGCUGCCCCGCACCGAGCGGGCCCCGCACUGAUGGCGGCGGCGGGCGGGGACGCGCGCGCGGAGCUGGAUGUGGAUGUGGAUGCGGGGCCGGGGCAGGAGAAGUACGACGCGGAGGAGAACGUGAAGAUCAUCUGCCUGGGCGACAGCGCCGUCGGCAAGUCCAAGCUGAUGGAGCGGUUCCUCCUGGACGGGUACCGCCCGCAGCAGCUCUCCACGUUCGCUCUGACGCUCUACAAGCACGCCGCCAGCGUGGACGGGAAGCGCGUCCUCGUGGACUUCUGGGACACAGCAGGGCAGGAGCGGUUCCAGAGCAUGCACCCCUCCUACUACCACAAAGCCCAUGCUUGUAUCAUGGUGUUUGACGUGCAGAGGAAGGUCACCUACAAGAACCUGAGCAACUGGUACAAGGAGCUGAGGGAGUUCCGCCCAGAGAUCCCCUGCAUCGUGGUGGCCAACAAAAUUGACGCGGAUAUGAAAAUGACUCAGAAAAGCUUCAACUUUGCCCGGAAGUUCAACCUGCCUUUCUACUUUGUCUCUGCUGCAGACGGCACCAAUGUGGUGAAGCUUUUCAGUGACGCCAUCAAACUGGCCGUCGCCUACAAGCAGAAUUCAGGGGACUUCAUGGACGAGGUCAUGCGAGAGCUGGAGAACUUUGACCUGCAGCAGAAGGGGGAAGACUUCUCCGAUAAGGAGGAGAGCUGCCCCGAGGAGAAGCCCCCCUCCACCUGAGCCUGCCCGGACCAGCCUCAGGCUGCUGCCCUGCAUCACCCAAGGGGAUGGCCUUCAGGAAGUUAUUCAGUCGUUUGAAGAAAUCGUCGUUGGUGCUCCGGCCUGACGGACAGGUGCCUGGUUUUGGCUUCUGAUUUACCGGUGGCAGUGGCAUUGGCGGCAGCUGCUGCAUGUAGGGCGACUGCGAGGCGAUACCCUCUGUACCGGUCUGCAUGUGCCGCCAGCAUGGCCAGCCUCUCCCGCUGCCCGCGAGGAGCCGACGCACCUCAGCCUCUGCACCGCCUUGUCGAAACUCUGGAUCCGCCCCGGCCGCAUGCUCCUUGGUCCCUCCUGCCCCGGCGCCCCCCAUCUCUCUCCCUCCCUCGCUCUGCCCAGCCCCAAUGCACCCACAAGUUUGACGCCGCAGCCAUUUUCCACCAGUGCUUCCAGUAAGACCCAGUUCUAACUUUU
Alligator mississippiensis (American alligator) is the source of this 1378-nucleotide RNA transcript. It is a transcript of the gene named RAB, member of RAS oncogene family like 2B, with no coding region annotated. The transcript has 10 exons. NCBI's taxonomy places the organism in Eukaryota, Metazoa, Chordata, Crocodylia, Alligatoridae. The record is from RefSeq and is a predicted model, not a curated record.